CAGCAGCCGCGGUAAUACGGAGGUGGCUAGCGUUGUUCGGAAUUACUGGGCGUAAAGCGCACGUAGGCGGCUUGGUAAGUUAGAGGUGAAAGCCUGGAGCUCAACUCCAGAAUUGCCUUUAAGACUGCCGAGCUAGCAGGUGAGAGAGGUAAGUGGAAUUCCGAGUGUAGAGGUGAAAUUCGUAGAUAUUCGGAAGAACACCAGUGGCGAAGGCGGCUUACUGGCUCAUACUGGACGCUGAGGUGCGAAAGCGUGGGGAGCAAACAGGAUUAGAUACCCCUGUAGUCCCUGUCUCUUAUAC
RNAcentral lists this ribosomal RNA (301 nucleotides) under uncultured bacterium. RNAcentral's name for it is "partial 16S ribosomal RNA". It matches the Rfam family "Bacterial small subunit ribosomal RNA", at positions 509 to 807 of the family's 1533-position model. The record is from RNAcentral.